GCGCUGUGGAACCGCCUCCUGCUAGAGCAGCGGGCUGGCGACGGUCCUCGCCGGGGCGGGAAGCGGCUCAGGCUGCCCUCGCUGGCCUGCGGCGGCGCGGCUGGAAGCGCGGGCCACUCGUGCGUGGGUCACUCAGGACUGCGCCUCGCGCGACUGUGUGUGCAGGAAACAAGCAGGAAAUACCCUAAAAGAGAAUGAAGCGCCAUGUUGAGGGUCGCGGACGUCGCGAGUGCUGUGGGAAUGUGGGCUGAGGUGGAGAGUUAUGGUAGCCCGUGUUACAGGCUCAGGGGUCUGAAAGAAGCCUAAUCGUGGAGGCGGCAUCUGAGGAGGGUCUUGAAGGCUGGGCAGGCAUUUGCCCGACAGAGAUGGAGGAAGCUAGUCCUGUCUGAUGGAGGAAACAGGGCGGAGGCGUGGAGGGAGCCGUGCAGCGCUGGUGUGAGGAGCAGCGAGCAGGCCAGGCCUGUAAAGCAGAGUGAGGGAACCAGGAUAGAGAAGGCAAGUCGGGGUCCUGUGGUCGCUGAAGAAUUUGAAUGAAAUCAGUAAACAGGUGAGAGGGAUCCAUCGCAAGAGCAUGGGAUGAAAGGAGGAGUAGUCCACGGUGAUUCCUCUGCAGCGGUGGGUGUUAUUAAUCGCGUAUGUGACACCAAAACCACCCCACUCAAGCUGUGGCUCUUUCCCUAAAGUAGAAAACCGAGACCAGUUGGGUUCCAAGCAUCCACGAAGAUCUUAUUAAAUUCGUGAUCCCUGGUGGCACCAUGGAGUCAGGAUUGGCUCAUCUCAAACCUGACUCAGAAACAAAACCGUCACAAUGUGCAGAGAUGAGCGUCCUUACCGCUAUCAACGUAUUUUCUGGUGUUUUCACAGUGCUGCGCUUCCUAAUCCCCAUUCCAUGGCAAUCCACAUGCCAUGAUGCCCGGAGUCAUUAACAAAGGAGACACACAGGGGCUCCUCACGUUGGCUUUCCAGGGUUUUGAUGAAAAUCUGUUUCCUCGUCUCAUACAAUGUGGUUAGUAAUAGUAUCAUUUAGGGUUGAAGAAUUAAAUGGUACGAGUUAUAUAGGGUGCUUAUUAUAACCUACAUGGAAAAUGCCUAGGAUAUGUUAGCUAUGCUCAUCACCAACAUCGUUAUAUGAUGGUAAUAAUCAGAUAGUCAGGAAGCCUGACACCAAGAAAAUGGAUACAUGCUCUGAAGGAAUGAAUGUGGAGAGAUCAGAAGGUCAAGAACAAAGUCGUACAAUAUGUCUACAGUAAAGGGAUAGAGAAAAGAAAGGCUAUAAAAGAAGGAAUGAAACAGAGUUAAAUUAUAGAAAUCAAAGCUAAGGAGAAUUUCCAGAAAGGGUAGUAUCAUUUAAUAUCAUAGAAGUUUAGGAGCCCAAGAUGGAAAAAAGGCCUCUGGGUAACUGACAUUGAGGCAGUCUUUGGGGAAGCUCCAUUUCCGAUAGAGAAGUAGACUGAAAGUCAGCUUGAAGCAGGGACUAGGUGAAGAAGCUGUUGGCUGGUCGCAUGGGGAAAUAAAUAAGGGAUGGCAUAUGCCGUAUUUCUGGAUUUCUUUCUUUCUUGCCCAGCCUCUAUAUAUGCACAGAGUUUGGCGAAAACUUACAAAAAAUAAAAAUGAAACCAAUUUCGUUUGUAGACCCAAAUACAAUGCUUUCUGUUAGAAUCAAGAUAAAUUCAUGCCUCUCCCUUCUAUUCAAACCGUCAGUUUUGAAAUUAAACAUCAGCUUUUCUUCUUCAUUAAAAUCAUUUUCAGCUCUUCCCAUUGAUGGUUUGGGGGAGUUGCAUAAGCAGUCAGGUCUUGAUGAGUAGAGGAGGAGGGAACAAACACUUUCAGCAAAGGCAGAAUUCUGAAAUUCUGCUCAUAUUUUUUUCCAGUAACUUUCCUAUGUUUGUGAGGUUAUUCAGUCAUAAAGAUCCUAGUGAAAUGUUUUUCAAGCUUUACUAAUCAUAAUCACUGUGGACAUUUGUUUAAAAUGUGUAUUCCCAGGCCUCUCACCUGGUGAUUCUGAUUCAGGAGAUCAUGG
RNAcentral lists this long non-coding RNA (2020 nucleotides) under Homo sapiens (human). RNAcentral's name for it is "non-protein coding FRG1-DT:23". Lineage: Eukaryota; Metazoa; Chordata; Mammalia; Primates; Hominidae. The record is from RNAcentral.